UGAGAAGUAAUUGUAAUUUGAGAUAUCAUAUAGUUACAAACAUAGUACAAUAUGGAGGUAAAACAAUUUUGUAUGAUAUUUAAGUGCAACCCUAAUGGUACUUUCGUUUUCGGUCAGUGUUAUUGAAAAUUAUGUUCAACAAGUGUCUCAUAAAUUUUUUUUAAAAAUUAACUAAAAAUCCAGAAGAAUGAAUGAAAUUUCUUUUUUCAAUUCAUUAUUCUAUGACAAAUCUCUUUGAAUUCUUCUAUUCACGCUAUGGGUGCAUGGUAUAAUUAUUACAAGUAGCAGCAAACCCAAGCUGAUUUGUCUCUAUAGUAAUGCUAGUGUCAAAGUCAGGCAGAGCCAGCUUACGUAUCAUGGUAGAAAAAUACAGGUAAAUGCAUCAACGCUUGGGAACAUUGAUAUGUCAAAAUAUUUUAAAUGUCUUUACAAAUAUAAUUAGAUUUUUAUAUGUUUUCUCAUACGACGUCAUUCGGAGGUUAUUAUAAUACACGUUUUUCAAUUUUUUUUACAAAUUGAAAUAAUUUUUCAUUCAACAUUUUCAAUUCCAAAAUUGGUUUGACAGUUUAUUGUCCCAGCAGCUGAGUCGAUGCGUAUACCUAUAUUAUUUUACCAUGUUACGUAUGGUUGUAUUUUUUACAGCAUUUUCGCGAUUCAAUCUGUCAUUUUGUCGCUUUUCUGUUUAAUUUCGCGAUUAAUUUUUUCAAAGGUAUAUUUAGCAACACUGACAGCCUGUUCCACGAUCUCGAAAGAAAAUUUGUGCGAACGAAGGCUACUCACUCACUUUCGUAUAAGAAUGCGUUCCACUAACUUUCGUUCUUUCUUUCGCAUAGCCUUACGUGAUUCAGUGUUGCUAAAUAUUUUUUUUGGAAAAAUUAAUCGCGAAAUAAAGCAAAAAAAGCGUCAAAUGUCUUAUUUAAACGCGAAAAAGCAGCAGUGGCUCUGUCUCAACUGACAUUUCAGUUGUAAACAAACAAAUUGUAAAUAAACAAACAAAAUAAAAUUUCUAGUGAUUGUGUUCAAACUAUUUGUGCUCUUAGAAAAUAAAAAAAAGAAUAUUUCCGUAGCCCUAUUUUUAUGGAGGAGGUUCGAAAUGUGCCACGGAGGCAUUUAAGAGAUGCUUCGAAUUUAUUUGAAGUACCUAACAACCAGUUUGUGGCCAACUUUCGUGUGUCGAAGGAAGUUUUCGGGCUCUUUUGGAUAUGAUGGAAGAGAAGUGGGUGCCCGGUAGCAGAACUACCCAAAUCCGCCCCGAUUUAAAACUUCUUCUGCUGCUUCCAAAAAUUGGCGUUCCUCUGGCGAACACAGGAUUCUCCUCCACUUACUCAACUAGUGCCCGCAGCUGUGUAGUUGAUGAUUUUUUCGUGCUGGAAUUGAGAAAAUAAAAAAAAUAUAUAUUUGUUGUUCACAUAUUAAA
Musca domestica (house fly) is the source of this 1417-nucleotide long non-coding RNA. RefSeq lists it as uncharacterized. The record is from RefSeq and is a predicted model, not a curated record. The transcript is spliced from 2 exons. NCBI's taxonomy places the organism in Eukaryota, Metazoa, Arthropoda, Insecta, Diptera, Muscidae.